CAGGGCUCGAAAUGUACAGGACAGCGGUAGAAAUAUCGUCUCCCAGCAAUGGGUCUGUAUAUAGGUGCUGCAUGGCUGUCGUCAGCUCGUGUCGUGAGAUGUUGGGUUAAGUCCCGUAACGAGCGCAACCCUUGUCCUUAGUUACCAGCACGUUAUGGUGGGCACUCUAAGGAGACUGCCGGUGACAAACCGGAGGAAGGUGGGGAUGACGUCAAGUCAUCAUGCCCCUUACGGCCUGGGCUACACACGUGCUACAAUGGUCGGUACAGAGGGUUGCCAAGCCGCGAGGUGGAGCUAAUCUCACAAAACCGAUCGUAGUCCGGAUCGCAGUCUGCAACUCGACUGCGUGAAGUCGGAAUCGCUAGUAAUCGCGAAUCAGAAUGUCGCGGUGAAUACGUUC
RNAcentral lists this ribosomal RNA (400 nucleotides) under uncultured Pseudomonas sp. RNAcentral's name for it is "bacterial SSU rRNA". It matches the Rfam family "Bacterial small subunit ribosomal RNA", at positions 975 to 1373 of the family's 1533-position model. The record is from RNAcentral. Lineage: Bacteria; Pseudomonadati; Pseudomonadota; Gammaproteobacteria; Pseudomonadales; Pseudomonadaceae.